This 240-nucleotide ribosomal RNA is filed under the name uncultured soil bacterium. RNAcentral describes it as "partial 16S ribosomal RNA". It matches the Rfam family "Bacterial small subunit ribosomal RNA", at positions 26 to 267 of the family's 1533-position model. The record is from RNAcentral.
AGAUUGAACGCUGGCGGCAGGCCUAACACAUGCAAGUCGAGCGGCAGCACGGGUACUUGUACCUGGUGGCGAGCGGCGGACGGGUGAGUAAUGCCUAGGAAUCUGCCUGAUAGUGGGGGAUAACGUUCGGAAACGGACGCUAAUACCGCAUACGUCCUACGGGAGAAAGUGGGGGAUCUUCGGACCUCACGCUAUCAGAUGAGCCUAGGUCGGAUUAGCUAGUUGGUAGGUAAAGGCCUA